RNAcentral lists this ribosomal RNA (223 nucleotides) under uncultured bacterium. RNAcentral's name for it is "partial 16S ribosomal RNA". It matches the Rfam family "Bacterial small subunit ribosomal RNA", at positions 111 to 334 of the family's 1533-position model. The record is from RNAcentral.
UAACGCGUGGGUAACCUGCCUCACACAGGGGGAUAGCAGUUGGAAACGGCUGAUAAUACCGCAUAAGCGCAUAGUACCGCAUGGUACAGUGUGAAAAACUCCGGUGGUGUGAGAUGGACCCGCGUCUGAUUAGCUUGUUGGCAGGGUAACGGCCUACCAAGGCAACGAUCAGUAGCCGACCUGAGAGGGUGACCGGCCACAUUGGGACUGAGACACGGCCCAG